UCCAAGUAAGUCUUGAUUUCCUACCUCCC
RNAcentral lists this small RNA (29 nucleotides) under Bombyx mori (domestic silkworm). RNAcentral describes it as "ovarian small RNA-26549". Lineage: Eukaryota; Metazoa; Arthropoda; Insecta; Lepidoptera; Bombycidae. The record is from RNAcentral.